This is a long non-coding RNA of Sarcophilus harrisii (Tasmanian devil), 16942 nucleotides long. NCBI's taxonomy places the organism in Eukaryota, Metazoa, Chordata, Mammalia, Dasyuromorphia, Dasyuridae. The record is from Ensembl.
GUGUUAGGAAAUGUGGCAAGAUUAGGAAACAGUUAGUUGAAGACACUGGCUUGUACAAAGCUGACUAAUUCAGGCAAUGAGAGCUUUACAAGAUACAUUUUAACAAGAUAAAAGUUCAUCUAUGACAUACACAUAUGACAGACAACUCCUUGAUUUUGACAUAACAGCGUCAGUUACAUAAAUACCAAGAUGAAAUAUUGUCAGGUCAAUUCUGGGUAAUGAAACAUACAACCUUUUUUAUUAUUUGUUUGCUUUUUGGCUAUGGCAAUUCAAAUAAGGUUCUUAGUUUCAAAUCACAACAUACCUCAGGCAGCAUGCAGGGAAAAAAGUCAUUUAUUUUGUACAUUUGUAUGACACACCUUGCAACAAGCUUUCAUUUCCAGUAGUUAGCUCAAGAAUAUAGGAACCAUUCAAAUAAUAGUUUUGCUUAAGUUAGCAUUUGUAUUGACUGGACCAAUGAACAAAUCUGGUAAAAAAUAAAAACUAUCUGAAAUCAUUCGUUAACAAAAUUGCACAGUGAUCAUAAACUCAAUUCUCCUAAAAGAAACCCAUCUUUCAUUAUUAGUUCUCAUCAAUCAGUGAGACAGUAGCUGUGUUAAGUCUGGAUUCCUAGAGCCAGCUAUAUGGAGCAGAAACUCAUUCUCUUCUCUUGUAGGUUCUCACGGUGACAGAAAAGAUGCUGACCAUUGGAAGUCAGAGAUUUGGAUGACAGAGCUAUACAAACGCACAUACAUUGGAUGUCUCAGAGUCUUAAAUAUUUUUUGGGUUACUUUACAAACCGACUAGUUCAACAGGCAGCUUAAAUCACAUAUACCUUAAGAUUUAGAAAAUACAUUUUGUACAAUAAGUGUCUAAUUUCUUCACCACCAAUUUCAUUUGGUGUUCCUUGUCUUUAUGCUUGCAAUCCUUGAAGAAAUUGUGAAUAGAUACAUAUUGAUGGCUAAGGCUGAUAAGAGUCAAUGUAAUUAUUAUCUUCUCACAGAAAUAUGGCUGAGUACACAUUGGACCAGAGUCAGCAAAAAACAAGCUAAAGGUCACAAUAACUUUUUAAAAAGUCAAAUAAGUCAACUCCCUUUUAAGAACAGCAAUUUGAACUCAAUCCAGGAAAUUAAACAUAUCUCUUACAAAACAUUGGAUUUAUUUUAAAGGGCUAGUUCUUGGUAGCUAUAUUUCAGUGCAGUACAUUGAUUAAACUCAGGGACUACACUGAAUGUCUCAGUUUAUCAACAUGGCAUUACUUCUUUCAAGGUGGUAGAUUGGGUCCCUAGAAAAUGGAUUGUGUUUUCAUUCCCUUUAAGCACUUAAAAUAUAGUUUUUUAAUGACUUGUCCCUCUACAUUCGUCAACAUUCUACCAUUGAAAUUGAUGCCUUUAAUUUGGAAGAAGUGUGUGACAUUCCCAAAUGCAAUCCAAUGCCUUAUUGUCUUAGAUCUGAUAAAUUAAUCUAGCGUCAUGACUGUGUUAACCUAAUGUGAUUUCUACUCUUAUUAUGGAUUUGUUUCAGAUAAGGUUACCUCACAAUUUUAACUUUUCUUUACUGCAUUGAUUUAAAAAUCUUAGUGAUAUUUUUCUUGGUCCUUAUAUAUACAAAAUACACUUUUUUCAAAAGAUAUUAGGAAAUAGGACGAAGGUACCUCACAAUCACAGUCAUAGCAAAAGAGACUCAAUUACAUUGUACAGAUCAUUAAAGACUAAUCUUUGGCAAAAAAAGAUUUUUACAAAUAUGUCACUAAUUUUAAAUCUAAUUUUGAAUGUUUUACUUCUUGUUUCAGUUAUGUGGUCACUCUAAUACUAAAGUUCAACAGGAAAACACCACAAAUAUAAAAAUAAAUGAGUUUAGUACAUUUACUUUUUCAUAAUGCUUUUUCAAAGAGUUUUGAUUAAUUUCAGAGAAUUUUCACACGAGUAUUUCUGACAGUAAAUGUUACUUGAGAAGGUCACAAUUUUCCCAAUACAUUUGGAUUACACUGUGCCACCUCUUCUCUUUUGUCACCACCCAGGAUUUUUAACACUGAGACUCACCAAAUAAAUUUAAUAUUCUCGAUGUUUGUAUAGCUUUAGAUCGCUGUACAACAUAGUUUUCACCAAAUGAGUUGUGUAUGCAUGAGUAUGUGUGUAUGCCCUAUGUGUGAAUAUCCUCACAAUGGUAAGGCUUAUAAUUUACAUUCAGUGGCAUAAAGAAUGAGUUGAAUAUAUGAAAAUUGCAAGGGAAGUGAAGUUUUCAGAGAAAGGAAACAGGACAAUUGGGACACUUUAUUGAAUCAAACAGGGGAAAUGGAGUGAUUGCCUACUCUUUCUCUCAUGUUAUGAUGGCAAAAAUUUUCUUUUACAGAAAAUAUACAUUCCAUUUGCUAUGACUCCUUUGUUCUAGUAGUACAGGACCUCAUGAGUUUAUUCUUGCUACUUGCCCAAUGUUCAGGCUUGUAGGCCCCUGAUCAGUUUUCAGGGUAUUUAGAUUCCCAUUAAAGACAUCACUUGAAAUUUCUUUAUAUGGAUUGUUUGUUUCACUGGCUCAAGCUGAGUUCUAAAUACCAUUGCGUCUCACCAUACUUGUGGUCUUGGCCAAAUAGCCACACAGAAUUCCUAAGUCUUGAAAUUUGGGGAGAAUAAAUUCCCUCACUUCACUUUCUCUACCUUCUACACACACCAUUAAUGACAUUGGUUGUUGAGGUCUUCUAUACAACAUAUACAGAAUGUACAAUAGGUCCCCUCCUUCCCUCUUGUCUAGAAACUGUAAGUGUUUCCUCAUUGUGAUCGCUCUAAUAUCAACAAAUAUUUAUAGUUGAAAUACAUGGGGGAGUUCCCCAUUGCAAUAGUAGUGGCACUAACCACUACUUUUAUGGCUUAUUAGAUUAUAUUAUUAAGUUGUGCCACCAAACUCUUUAAAUGAUAAGACACUGAUUGAUGAAACUAUUGGGGCAUUACAACAAAUAAACAACCCUUCCCCCCAAACCAAUAUCCUUUACUCUUAAAAAUAUGGGCUUCGAAUUAACUAUAAAAACAUGGGUUACCCUAAGGAUAUUUAGCUUUCUGGCCAUCCCUAACACCUUCCAGUUACCCAUAUGAAGUUUACAAACCAAAAUUGACUUCAAUCUUUCAAGAUUCCUGCUAGUGGGUGACAUUAUCAUAUAAUUUUUCCUUUGAUAUUGCUUAUAAGGCUAAUCAUUCAUGUCCUUAGUCUUGGACAUUGAAAUAUCUAUAAGAAAACACUAGUGAUUGGUUGAAUGGACUUGCAAAGGUAUGGUUAUGGCAGUGCUUAAGUUUUUCUAGAGGGAUAUCAGUGAGUAACCUCCAGUGUCUCUGAGAGUCCCUUCCACCAGAGGCAUGUCUCCACCACCAAGAGGACUGUGUGGACAUGUGUAAUGUAAAAGAUUAAACAGAGAUCCUGGAUGAAAUGGAGAAUGUACAUGCAAGUAGACAAGACACAGGUACCAUCAUUAACCAAGUGGAAUCUUUUGAAAAGACAUAUCAAGGGAGGAUUAGAUAUAAAAAGCGAUCCUCCUAGCACAAGAUCACCCAAAUGCUCAAGCUGUGAGUAGAAGGCAAAAGGUGAAGGGUCAAGGUCAGAUUAUGGACUCAGGCAGAACACAAAGUUUACUUUAUUUGCAUUUGAAAUAAUCAAGAGUUCUGGGAGAAAAAAAAUCAUAAAACACUGGAUUCCUGGCUCCUACUGAAGCAACAUGAGGCUGUUGAUGCAGAUGAAAACUGGACUUCAAAUAUCCAGAGGUUUUUUUUAUGAUGGUUGUUAAUUCAUACUAUCUGGAUGAUUGAAAUAAUCAGUUCUCCUUUAUAUAUUGGACAUCACAUUGUUAUGGCCAAUUAUAACUCCAGAAUAGGACUUGGUUGAUUUGACUAAUUAAAAAAUAUAAACCACCUAGAAUAGUUAAAUGCUUUCAUAAUUUUCCUUCUGCUUUUUAUAAUUUUAAUCCCCAGGAUAUGCUGGACAAAUUAUCUAUGAUUUUCCUGCUACUAUCUACCUAUUUAGCAUACAUGUUACUGGGGGGAGAGGGCUUGAAGCUGUACAACUUACAGCUGUUGUAAAAUGGUGACAUUUUCAUUUUAUGUCUUGAUGUUUCCCCUUUAACUGCAUUUCUGUAUCAAAAGGGAGAAUCAACAUAUUUGUAAAUAUUUUUCACUCUUGUAAUCAUGGGUAGAUUCUUGACCAAUACAAAACAAAACAAAAAAAAAGAAAAUAUACCUUGAGAUUGUUUCUCUAAGUGAUUAUUCCUGAACAUUCCUAAUAACCAAGAUUUUCCUAAAUCAAAUAAAACUUCUAGAGUCCUCAGAAGUCUUCUGGAAACUUUUAUAUUGCCUGUGGCCUAAAGGUUACAUGAGCCACAGGAGCCUUUGAAAAUCUUUCCUUCCACAAUAAAACAAGUUCAUUUAUAGCUAAUAAUAUUUUUCAUCUUGUUAGCCAUUUUGCUAUGUCCAUGCUCAUUCUUCAGACCAGGACAGUACAGCAGACAAGAGCACUAGGCUAGUUAUAAACUGGAUUUACAGUGGAGCCAGGGUGUUACCACCAGCAAUCAAACAGGAAGGCAAAAAACAUGUCCAAUGUCUCCUCUUAAAAGCUUCAAGACAAAAGAGCUGAGAACUCGAAAGCAGACACACAUAGGAGAAAAUCUAUGAUAUUUGAGAAUGUUUGGGGACUCUGCUAAUUCAUCCAUGUGUAUUGAUAAAUAUUACUUUUCCUUUAUAAUGCUGAAACUAUGUACUUCUUGGUUGACUCUAAAAAGCUUAUACUAUUUUUGCCCACAAAGAAUCAGACUAUUAAGCUUCUUCCUGGGAGCAAGUUGGUGUGCCCUGAGGGACUGUAUUAAUACUAUCAGACCCCGUAGUGAGCAGACAGUAUGAAGUAAAAUAAAGCAGCUUAUGUCUUCCUGGGAUAAAGCUUAUAUGUUGAAGGAAUCACAAUAUUUAAUUAGUUCCUAACAUACUUGUGUGAGAUUGGGUGGGGAAGAUAGGGGGAAUAGCAAAUGUGAGAUUUUUAAUUAAAUGAUGGAAAGUAUAGAGAAGUUAAGCAGCUUUCCAAGAUCCACAUCAAGUUAAAGAUAGAAAUACAGAUCAAUCAGAGAUCUCUUGACCCAGGUCUGGGGUUAUCUUCUUUAAGAGGUUUGUAUUUCAAGCAAUCUCUGGAUAGAUUCCAAGUCCUUUAUUCUAAAUUCCAUCAUUAAAAGUUCCCUGAAUGAUUCGGGCAUGUGUACUAUUACAUAUUUUUUUCUCUUUAAAAGGAGUAUUACAUAGUUAGGAUCACAGAAUCUCUUGAGUUAAGAGUAGACUGUACAGAUCCAACCAAUAGCCCAAUACCAAUGUCCUUUACAGUAAUCUUUCUAGAGUCAUCCAGCCUCUGAAGAACUUUAGUGAUAAGGGAUUCUGUGUCUCCCAAGGCAGCCCAUUUUAUUUUUGCACAUCCUUAAUUAUGUUUCCUUAUAUCAAGUCAAAAUCUUCCAAGCUCUUCUGUCCUUUCAAAAUAUAAAGCAAAUCAACUGAAACAUUUUGAAAAAAAAAAAAUUUGUAAAACUGUGAAACUGACAUCAGAAAGUCUGUUUACAGGCCUGUAAAAGGGUCUCUACUCUUUAGAACUCAGGGGACACAUUUUUUAACUGCAAUAAGAGAUGCAGUAAAAUCAUUUAUUGCCCUACAAGAGGUACCCAGUCAUAUGUCUAGCCUCAUCAACUUUCAUCCUGGAGACACCUGUAACACUAAAUUUCAACUAAAUGAAGAAGCAUCUAUUCUUUUAUAGCCUUCUUUCAGGUAUGUCAUACAUCAGGACCCAACAAAGGUGCAAAGUGACAAAGAAUAAAAGGGCAUCUACUUUCAACAAUGGAAUUUUGGCUGGAAGACUGAUACAGCGUUUAAUUUCAGCUUCUGGGAUUGAUUGGCAGGCCUGGGUCAGUACUGGAGGUAGGGCCAGAGGAAAGGGCAGAGGAACGAGACAUGCAUGAAUUGGAUUCAUAGUCCAGGAAAAAAAAAAGUUGAUUUGACUUGCAUAUUCUAUGGCCUUAAACAAGGCCAUCUUCUCAAUGAUUGACAGUGGAACUAACAUAGUUUAAGGCAGCUUCUGAAGAAUGCUUAUGCUGCAUUUUCUAAAAAAUCUACCCUUCCAGUCUACAUUUUCCUAAUCAAAAUUGAAAUGGGGGCCAAAGCCAACCAGAGAACUCUUCAAAAUAUAACACACAGAUGCCUUUUGCAAAAUGAAAAGCAGGUGUAUGCAUAAAUGCAUCCUAAUGAGGGAAGGAAGUGGAUUUUAUUCCAGAAUGACUAGAGGAACAAUGACAAGAAUUCCUCUGUAAAAAGCUCCUUUGCUCUUCUAAGUUCUGACUCAGCAAUGGAGCUCACUAGGGCACUGGUUCUAAUGGAAGACACCCUUAGGUUUUGCUUCACCUCAUACAAUUGAUUUGAGACCUCCUUGCUAAUAAAGUCAUAGUAUGUUACUACCAUGGCAUUUAAGGGAUUAUGGUUUCUGAUGUAUUAGUUGGGAUCCCUUCAGAAGCAAGUUUACAGGAAUCUGGCUGAAACUUUCACUGUUUACAUGACCUGAGUUCAACAGUAACUUUCCUUUGCUGUGGAUAAGCCUACAGAUGCUGGAUAAAUUUUUUCCUUCACAGGCUGUGCAUGGCAACAGGAUUAUAAUUUCCAUCUGACUGUGGGGUAGGUUGUUUUGUGGCAGACAAGAUGAUUGCUAGUGAUAUAUGUCCCUUUUUGUAAUUUUCCUGAGCUUUCAUUUGCUUUGUCCACAUUACCGUGGGUGCAUUUAAGGGCAAUUGGAAUCUGUGCAAAACUCAAGCCUUACGAAAUCCUUUCCCCUGAUUCCUUCCCCCUUCCCCCUUCAGGAUAGCUGUCCUAAUUUCUUCCUGUGCAGGAAUUCUGUCUACCACUAUACACUCUGCUUUAAAAUAAUUCCUAUUAUAAAGUAGAACAAAGACCUAGAGGACAAAAAGUAGAAAAGCUUGUUUUCUGUGGGAAAUUGUGUUUGAAAUAAAGGGGGAAAAAGGCUACUAGGGCACAGAUAAGCUAUUAUGUUUAUUAGUGAUUCCACUGAAUUCUCUCCUUGCAGUUUUCUAAACUCUCUGUAGUCCUCAAGAAAGAACCAUUGUUUAUAGUUGAGGGAAGUAAAUCAGGAGCUGAAACCUGUAUCAAGCCCCACAUGACCUCAAAGGCAUUCAAGGCAGAGAUUGAGGAUUAUAGGAAAUUAUAAAAGUUAUAUUUUUUGUUGUGGAGCUUUUUCCACAAGUUAUUCCUAAUAUCCUGAAAUAAACUCAUUCAUCACAAGAGAAAAGCUUCUAGAUUCAAUUAGUCAGAGAAAUGGACAGAGACCAACUCUAGUGAUUAUUGGCAUAGGACUGAUAGUUUUUUCUCCUAAAAACCAUCAUAUCUAUUUUGUAUAUUCCUAUCUAUCCAUUCAUCCAUUCAUCCACCCUACCAUCAGACCUAUCUAUCACAGCAAAACUAAUCAAUAAUAAGAAAUUGUACCCAUUUAUGUAAUUUCUUAUCUCCCUGACUAUAAGAUAAAACUUAUAAGGCUUUCAAGUUCCCAAGAGCAAGAAUUGCUUUUUUUUUUGUCUCUGCAUCUUCAAAGUCUAAGGAGUAAUGAUUAGUAAGGUUAACUGAUUAUAGAGCUCAAUAUAAUUGAGACCAGAUUUUGACCAGAUAAGUGAGCUUGAGGAAAUACAGAAAAAGCAGUACUAGUGCAACUAAAUAGGAAAAUGAACCUUGUUUUCCAGUUCCUCCUACCCACUUCCAUUUAUCAAAGAUUGAAUAUAAAGGAAAUGAGUCAGUCUGUUAAUAGAAAGCUUAUUUGAGACUUUCAGAUAGCUACUUAGAAGUUCAAUUAAACAGAUUUGGAAGGUAAAUUUAAUUGAAUUUCAUAUAUAAUGAUCAUUUCCCAUCUAGUGUUUAGUCUCUUAGAUUACUGGAACCUUACUCUUCAUUAAUGAAAUUCAAUUUACAUUCAAAUUAUUUGGUCAAAGCUCUAUAGGUGUUUUAGAUUUGCAUUAAGCUUGGGCACUAUUUGCCUGGGAACUGUGAUUUUUCAAUCCUUGCCUAGUCAAAUCUUUUUUCCUGAAAAUUUUUGCUACUUUUGUGGAGGGGCAGAUAAGGAACUAAAUGUAUCAUCUAUUUGAGAAAUUCCAGGUAUUGAAAUUCUCAUUGAUACAGAUGAACAAUUUAUUUGUAAUUUAGACAACCAAAGUAAGAUGCUGGUACCUAUCAGUUAUCCUACUUAAUUUCCUCUCUUGUGGCCACUUAUAUGAUAGAACUUCUUGUGGUCCUUAGGAAACCAUGAAUUAGUUAUGGGAAGAAAUUUUGGAGAUUUAACCCAUAGUUCUAGAGAACUGCCUGGGAAAUUGAGUAAAAUGAUUGGUUGUUGGUCAUACAGCUAUUUUUGUGUUAGAGGCAGGACCAAAACUAGGCCUCUCUAUUCUGAAUGCCAUGCUGCCUCAUUGAUUAAUAAUUAUUUCAAAACAAGCAUCUUGAUAUGGUUUACAAUUGCUUAGUUAUUUGUAAUUUCCCCCUCAAAUUAAUCUUGCAUCAGAUCUAAGUUUGUUUUGUUCUCUGUGUAGAUAGAGAGUAGCAUUUAAAGUCUUGUAUUUUGCAUUUAGUGAAGUUAAAUGUCAGUACCACUAGACUACAAACUCCUUGAGAAGAGGGACUUUUAUUUUUAUUCCCAGUGAUUAACAGAAUGACUUUCCACAUGGCAGGUGCUUAAUAAGUCCUUUUUGAAUUAAAUUUAAUUAAAGUCAGAUUUCUGACUAUGGAAUGGAAGCUAUACUUUUUGUGCUGGCCCAGUCACAUUUAUAAGAAUUGGAAAGCAACAGGAAAAACUCUUUGACUUUAAGCUGAGAAAACAUUCUGAAGAUACUCUUGGUUUAGCCAAUAAGAAUUAUUUUCAUUUCUAAUAUUCUAGGCAAGUAGAUACUCUGAUUUUUUCUAAAAAGCUUUGGGCUUCCAGAGAGAAGAAAAAGAAAAGUCAUGUAAGCAACAAUUAUGAGACUUUCAAUUAUAGCUAUAAGUUGACAUGGAGAGCAUGUCAUGAGAGAGUAAGGAUGUGGAGAGACAUUUUAACAAAUACUCAGCCACUCCUAUGAGAUGAACUUUCUGGCCCAAUCUUCAACUCAUUGCUUAUUGAAAUAUGCCCAGAUGAUUAGUAUAUUAAACUAAAUUAAGAUUUAGUUUUCAUGAUUUGGCAAAAAAAAAUUUAGCCCCAAAUCAAAAUCCUUCCAUUUGGCCAACUAAUUUUUGUGGAGCUCCAAGUGCUAUAUAGGUAUAUAGAUAGUUCUAGAGAGAAUAUUUAUUAUAGUUAAUUUGCUAAAUCUUGUUACUUGAGAUUUUUGCUUCAAAAGAUCAUAGAUUUAAAAUUGGCAAGAAUCUUAGAAGUCAUCUAAUACAACUUCUCUUCGACUACAAAAAAAAAAAAAAAAAAAAAAAGAAUACUUGGUACCUUUCUUUACAUUUCAACAGUUGCUUAACUAGGGAAAUAAGGCCUGGGAAUUUGGACUGGGCAAUCUCGCCAACUAUCUGCUUCCCAGGAAAUAUCAAUGCCACUAUGUUGGUAUUUAAAUAGAUUUUCAAACUUUUAAGGACUAUAAUAGCCUCAGCAUUGCAGUUCCUCCUCUCUAUUAAUAUUUGCCCUUCAAUUGCUAUCAAGCAAUGAAUCAGAAACUAUACAUAUAGAUUGGGCUUUGAAGUGUCAGUGGAUUUCACAGAUAGGACAUUGACAAUGGUCAUUUAAACACAAAUUACCCAUAAUUUUCUAUAAAAAUGGCUAUUUAAAAGAAACCCCUUUAAUUUUAACUUUUAACUUCUGAAAUGUUUCAUUUUAGAAAGAAGUUAGAAGAAAUGUUUUCUCAAAGCCGUAAACCAUUUUCUCUUCACCUUAAAAGAACUCUAUUCUAUCUUUCUCUAAUAAUUUGGAGCCAUUUCCAAAGAAAGUGUUCAGGGACUGAGUACCAACAAUAGUAAAUGGAAAAGCAGAGACAGGUUCAGGAAGAACUCUGCUCACUUGGUUUUCAGUUAGGCUCAUUUCUCAUUACCAGAAUCAAAUUAAUUAUUGGAGAAAUUAAGUCUAUUCCCAGAUCUCUUCUGAAAUAAAGAACAUACAAAUUUCAAAGGCCAAAGAGAACAAUCAGUAUCAAGAAGAAUAUUCUAAUCCAAGGACUAAUAGUGUCUCAUGAGAGCAUCCUCUGUGUCUCAAAAAAAGAAUUUUGAGAGCAGACUCCCUACUUCCUCUCCUCUUCUAUAUCUUUUCUUCCUCCUCCUUUUUCCUCCAUCCCGCUUUUCCCUCUCUCCCACCCCUUCUCUCUCAUUUUGUCUGGUGUAUCUGUCAAAGCAAUCUCUUCUUUACCCACAUUAUUCCUGUUCCUCUUCAAUACAAUAGUAAAUAUUUGGAAAUGACCCUCUUAAAAUCUUAAUAUGACAUUCUUGAAAUUCAUGCUUUGAGAUGAUGUUAUGGCUGAGAUGGGGGUUAUUGUAACUCCUUUCCAAGCAAUUCAAAGGUGGUCCUGCCUGAUACUGAAUUCUAUGAUUUAAAAAAUGUCAUUUUUUUCUAUAGUUUCUGGCAUACUGAUAUAUGUAUAUAUAUAUAUAUAUAUAUAUAUAUAUAUAUGUAAAGUAUCAAUUUGCUUUCAUACAAAAUAUUUCCUUUUCCUCUUUCAAGGAGAUCUGUGGUUUUUUUUAACUUUUAAGCCAAUUUAUUGGUAAUGGAUAACAGCAUCUCUUAUACCAAUGGCAGGAAAAAGCAAUUCAUUUCAGUAGAAUUUUCUUUAUGUGAAGGAGUAAAUAUAUGAGACAUUGCUCCUAGGACACUCUCUCUUUCUCUCUCUCUCUCUUUCUCUCUGAUAGCUCAACCCAUGUCAAGAUAAAACUUAAAUUGCCAUCUUUUAUCAGAGAGCAUGCUGUGUCUGGUUAUUGGGGAAAGAUUUCUAGACUGUGCAUAGAUGCUUAGUAUUACUAAUUUACUUUACCCCAGGACAAAUAGAAUGGGAGGCAUUCAGUGUUUUGAUUUUGGAAGAAAGUACAAGUCAACUUCCUCAAAUUAUUCCUAGCCUCUUGAUUUGAACCAUUAUGUUCUGAGUUUUAUUGAAAAUAAAAGUAAGGUCAUAAUAGAUGAAAAAGCAAGUUCUAUUUAAUAUAAUUCUCCUUGAGAAGUUUGCAAACUAGGAAUGUGGAUAUUUCCAUUUCACAGUCAUGUAAAUACCACCAUAACACAUAAAUUGCAUCAUUUUGGCUAUGAAUUUUUUAUUUGUUCUUCAGGUAAAGAAUAAAAAAGAAUUGAAUCUGAUUAGUGGUUGAAAGUAUUAAUAGUGGUAAAUUAAAAAAAGUAAAAACUUCUCUUAAAUAGGUAACCAAAAUUUAUGUUUUAGAGGAUUUUAUCUAUUUUCUUAAGCCUGUAGAAAAUAAAUUUCUUGAAAGCAAUGACUAUUCUUAUUUUUUUUCUAAAAUGAUUAUAACAGUAAGCACAAUUAGGUGCUUAACAAAUGCCUGUGAAAUGUAUUUAGUGUUUUAGAAUCUGCCUCAUAUUGGCUGGUUUGGGCCAUACUACUUACUUGGUUUAGAGGUCAAAAUAACAUUUGAUUUAUAAUGACUUUGACUGAAUUGACAUUAAUUUUGGGGAAACUAAUAACAACCAUAUUAAAAUAGCAUCAACCUCUAAAAAGAAUUAAUUGCCAAGUCAUUAGGCUGUAUUAUUUCGAGGUCACAUGUAUUGAAGGAAAAAAUGGAAACUCCUGAAGACAUUUUAAUGAGGCAUAUAUACUGGGCCAGCACAUUCUAGAAAUUAACACUAUCAAUUUUGGAUGAGCUGUUCAUAAAACUAGAGUGGAAAACUCUGGUUUGAGCAACCCCUCAUUGGCUUCAGUCCCCCUCUUUAUGUCCAAGAAAAUCCUGUUUUAAUAUUUGGAAUUCAGUUUUUUGUUGCUUCUGGCUUUAUCAAAUAUGUGUGGGGAAAGAAGAGAAAAAGAAGGAAGUGCAGAGAGUUACCACACUUGUCUGUAGUCAUAAUUAUGUCAGUGUUGAAAGAUCUAUGAAGCUCUUGUAGACAAGAAUAAUAUUGGGGUAGAGAGCAAUGAUAUGAUCAUUCUUUGUGCUAAUUCCCUUGGGUUUUGAUAUAGCUUUAGUUAAUCACUGUAAUCUCUACCCAUCCACAUUAUGUUUGGCACAUUACUCAAAAGCACAAAUAUUAUUAAUAUAAUACAUUUUUAAAGCUUUUGUCUUUAGAAUAAUUUGUAAGUGGCUCUGUCAAGGACAUAAACAUAAAUAAGUUCUUAAGAAGGCAAAAGUACAUAAAUAUGGGAUUUUUGGUAUUGUGUUUAGUCUUUUGUAAAGUGUCCCUUUUUUUUUUUCAAUAUUUAAUCCUAAUUGGAUCAACUUAUCGUUGUUUUGUUUGAAAUGUUUUAGAAAGUACUGGUACCCAUGGAUAUUUUUCAUUGUUUUCCCUUUCCAUCUGAGUUGAGUGUGACAUGAUUCUUUAAUCCUUAUAUGAGAGGUUGGGCAAGUAAAUUUAGAAUCAUAGGAACACAGAAUUUUAGGAUUGGUCUCUCAGAAGAACAAGACUUUCUUCUUACUAAGUGGUAGAUAAAUAGCCUUUUCUAUGUGAUCUGAGAAGUUUGUUAAUAUGUCCCAUGUAACAGAACUGGGGAAAUCAGUUUUUAAAACAAACCCAACAAUCACCACUUUUUUCUUAAAAGAAAGGGACAGAUAUUGAGCUUCAUAGGAACUAUUCUAUAAAUCCAGUGUUAUUCCAAUGCCUCAAAUCACUUAUAGCCCUGGCUUUGGUCAGUUGAACCUACAUAACCCUUAAGGAGUAAAUUAGGCUUUUAGGGAAGUGCCUUUACAAUUCAAAUGGGACUUAGUAAAUUCUGGUAUAAAGUGGUUUCCAAAUAGAAAUAUUUGAACUACUAUGAAAUUUGAAUUUCAUUAGAAGGAAUUUUUUCCACCAUAGAAAAGGAUUUGAUUCAUUAUUAAUAUGUGGUAAUGAUUAUAUCUCCAUGCAUUAUGCUUAUUAGUAUUUACAUAAUUUACCUUUUUGAAGAGAAACUCUUCAAAAGGGGAAAACCUUUUCAAAUUAAUGAUUAAUUGUAUUGAUAAAAUGAAGAGGCAAAUAUCUUCUUUGAUGCUCAGUAAUUACUUUUCCUGAAAUAUGAGGAUAGAGAAGGAUGAAAAUGUGUUAUAUACUUUACCCUCCACUAAAGUACUAUUCCAAUAAUUGUUUUAUGGAGAUGACAAUGUCAUCUGAGGGUAUGCUUUAGAAAGUCUUGCCAAAUUGAAGUAGCUGAGGACCAAUCUAGUUAAAUUCAGACAGGUUUAUAGGUUGGUCAUUAACUCACUAGUUUUUUAGCCUCCAUAGAAUAUAAAAUCCUUGUGAUUACAAGUGCAGAAAUAAUGAAACAUUCCUUGGGAUUAUUUCUGCACUUGUAAUCCUAGUACCUAGCACAGUAAGUGGCACAUGAUUAAUGCUUGAUAAUUGUUUCUUGAUUGACUGAAGAAAUAGUCUAGUAAGUCUAGUAAGGAGUCCAAGGAUGUGAUCUGUGAUAGUAGACAGAAUAUCCCCACUGACAAAAUAACAUAUCUUUCAAAAUGCCAUUAAAUAGAAUUUCCACAUAUCACACUAUGUCCUAACAAACAUUUGAAGGGUUAUGAUGAGGAAGAAGAUUAUUUUGUGAAGACCAAGUAAAAGUUGCAAAGAGGCAAGUGUGUAUUUGAUGUCAGGAAAUAACUUCCCAACAUAUAUCAAUUCAAAAAUGGAAUAGGCUAUCAAAGGUGGUAAUGGAUUCCUUUUCCCAAGAAAUCUCUAAAUAAAAAGCUAGACAGACAUUUAUUAUUUUCUAUAGAUGAAUUGUUGUAUAAUUAUGGGGCUUUGUCUGUGGUAAUGCUGUUAAGACUCAAAUUCUGUGAAUUGCUCUCCAUACUGAAAUGAAAUUAUACUUUGUUAUUUUUUUUUGAAAGUAAGGAAAGUAAGAUCAUUUUCUAAAGAAAAAAUAUUUCCAUGUAAUUCUUGGAGUAGAUGGCUCAAAUGUCUGAGAUUCAUGUCUAGACUUAAAGUCUUAUAAAUCUCAUUACUCAGUAUUUAUUGAUCUGCAAACAGCCCACUGAAGGUAAUGAAAUUAAGAAAUUUGUUAGUGGUGAUGUAAGAAGCUGAUUUGGUGAAAUUUAGGAAAAGAAAGCUUAAAGUGUUUUAAAGAAGGGCACAUUCUUUGAAUAGUGGCUUGGUUGAAUUAAUUUUGGAGACUGUCAUCACUCAGGUAAAAUUAUGGUUUUAGGUAAACAUUCUCUUUUGUUAAGGCUAAGUUGGAUUUUUAUUGCUUGCUAAAGAAGCUGUUCUGCAGUGAGCAUUUCUAAAGUGCUUUAUAGUUGGCAAAACACUUUACAAAUAUUAUCUCAUUUUGUCCUCACAAUAAUUCUGGAAGAUAAGUCACUAUUAUCUUCGUUUUGCAAAUAAGGGAAAUGAAAUGAAUAAUGGUUAAAUGACUUAUCCAGCCUCACAUAACUACAAGCGUCUAAGGCCAUUUUUGAAUUCAGGUCUUCCUAAUUCUAGAUUUAGGACUCUAUCUACUGUGUCACAUAGAUGUCUCAUCUAAAUUAUUGGAUAAAGUUAUUUGUGGAACUGAGCAAAUAUUCAUGGAUUCAUUUCUUAAUUUAAAUUUAACUUAAUUUCCAAUGGUGAUAUUAAAACAACCCAAUGGGCUUCUUGUAGCAGAACUGAAGACUUAUUAUGGUCAAAGUGAAUUUUCUUGGACAUAACUUUUGUUCCCAAAGAGUCAUGGAAAGCUAAAUACUCACCACUUCUUGAUUGCUGGCCAGAUGAUAGUUUCAGUUGAGACUUAGUUUGAUUUUGUCACACCCACAGACAGUGACUUUCCCCCUUUUCUUUCUCACCUGUUACUGAAUGCUGCUUUCAUAUUCAAGAUAUUUUCAUGUUGGAGAUAACAGUAAUCUGAGAAUAACUAAAUAGGGACUGAAAAUUUUAACCAUUUUUACCCAUUUACUUGCCAGGUGUUUAAAUGAGUUCAGAGUACUUCCAAUGAAUUUAAAUGGCUUGAAUGAGGUGACUGCUGGGGUACCUUUAAUUCAAAAAUUCUAUGAUCCUGUACUUCUUUGUGAUGGACAGAAAAAACUCACAUGCUCAUCAAAGAAUAAUUAUAGCCAAAAUAACGAUAAAAGGACACAGUUCCAAAGAAAGGGUACAGAUUCAAUUUACAGAUUAUAUCUAGCCUUCAAUAAAGUUUGAAGGAACUUUAAAAAAUCCAAAUAUUUUAGCAUAUUCUUUUUAUGAAAAUUAAAUCUGGCCCCCUUUUUUGCUUCAUUUUUAAAAUAUAAAGAUAAUUUUUUCUUUUAUCUGAUGAAAUUUUGCCUUUGUUCAGUUUCAUUAACAAGUCCUUGGCAAGGAGGUGAUAUCACAAACUACAAAAUCAAAUGCCAACACUGAUUAUUAGUGUUGCACACGGUCAUUCAGGAGAUGGCCAGCCAAGAUCCACUUGAGGUUUUAAGAAUGAUUUUUAGACAAAAGAAUUUGGAAAUAGGAGUUGAAAAUCAGUCUGGGAUUUACAUGAAGGGCUGAAGAAAAAUUUUAAUUGGCUACUCACUAUCUUGAUGAUUUAGGGAUUACUUUUCAUGUUGAAAGUCUUCAGGGGUUCUCUUAUGGACAAGGGAAAGAGUGAGGCUUACAGAGGGCCUCUUCCAGGGCCAUUUUGACUAUAGUGAGUGAAAGGAGUUAAUGGAGCGUAAUGAUAAUAGCCAACAUUUCUAGUGUGCUUACUUUGUGCUAGGCACUGUGCAAAGCAUUUUACAAUUAUUAUCUCAUUUGAUCCUCACAACAACUUUGGGAGGUAGGUGGUAUUAUUCGCAUUUUACAGAUAGGCAAACAGAGAGGUUAAGUGACUUUCUCAGUAUUGGACAAUAGUAAAUACUGUAUUCUGGAUCCGAACUCAGAUUUUUCUGUCUCCAGACGUGAGCACUCUAUCCACUGUAUCACUUAACUGCCCCUAAUAUGGGAAGACUGAAAUUACAGUGACACAGGCAAGGAAAAUGAUGACAACGUUGACUAAAAAAUAACAAUAGAGUAUAAUUUUGAAUGCUGGUUAAGAGUUUUAGAACUGGUCAAAUCACUGUAUUUAGGUAAUUAUCUGAGGCCAAAUUAUUUGAAGAGAGAAAGUUUGACUCACUCUCUUAAACCAAAAUCAGGGGGCAUGGAGAUGGAGAUGACAUUUUCUUUGACCCCAUUAAGUCACUGAAAUUAUGUAUUUUUUCCAUCACCUGGAAAAUGAAUGUAAUACAUGUGAGCUGCAGCAGGACAUUGCCAUAGAAAAUGCCCAUAAAGAAAAAGGCAAAGUGGUUAGAAUUGUAAAGUGUAGCUCAGUGAUUACCAGCAUGGGUUAAAGAAAUCUUCUGAUGCUUAUGAGCCUUCUAGACAAAUGUAAAACAAGUGCCUACACAUUUCCUCUUACUACAGCUUGUCUUGAUCCAAGUUUCCCAACUUUUUGAUUGUAACGUACAGAGUCAAGACAAUUUUUGUUGUACUUCUUACUCACUUGUCAAGUACAAUCCUUCUAACUACUGGGUUUAUGAAGGGCAUUAUAAUGUAUGAUGUUAAAGAAUCUAUGCACUUAAAUCUUCUUAGUGAGUCUUUGAGAUGUGAAGCCCCUGACUAACCUCAUUGCAUGUGUCUGACUUGAGAUUAUAACAUGAAUAUUGACCAGAGAACCAUGGAUGCAAUUCCUGGCUAUUGACAGAGUAUGAGCACAGUAGGAUGACAAAUAGGAUGAUAAAACAAAUAUUAGAACAAUGUCAAAUUAUUACAUGCUCCCUUCAUUUUGCCCAGGGCUAACCAUCCCUCCUCUUAUGAAGCCCACCAAACUAUUACGCUAAUAUCCAAGGGUUGUCUUAGAACAUUAGAAAUUAAACAACCCAAUAGUUGUCAUAUGGGAGAGGCUGAACAUUGGGAAUCUCUU